AACCUCCGCAAUGUGAGAAAUCGCGACGGGGGGAUCCCAAGUGCCAUUCUUAACGGGAUGGCUUUUCAUUAGUGUAAAGAGCUUUUGGAAUAAGGGCUGGGCAAGACCGGUGCCAGCCGCCGCGGUAACACCGGCAGCUCUAGUGGUAGCAGUUUUUAUUGGGCCUAAAGCGUCCGUAGCCGGUUUAAUAAGUCUCUGGUGAAAUCCUGUAGCUUAACUGUGGGAAUUGCCGGAGAUACUAUUAGACUUGAGACCGGGAGAGGUUAGAGGUACUCUCAGGGUAGAGGUGAAAUUCUGUAAUCCUGGGAGGACCGCCUGUUGCGAAGGCGUCUAACUGAAACGGUUCUGACGGUGAGGGACGAAAGUUAGGGGCGCGAACCGGGAUUAGAUACCCGGGUAGUCCUAACCGUAAACGAUGCGGACUUGGUGUUGGGGUGGCUUUGAGCUGCUCCAGUGCCGAAGGGAAGCUGUUAAGUCCGCCGCCUGGGAGUACGGUCGCAAGACUGAAACUUAAAGGAAUU
RNAcentral lists this ribosomal RNA (521 nucleotides) under uncultured bacterium. RNAcentral's name for it is "bacterial SSU rRNA". It matches the Rfam family "Archaeal small subunit ribosomal RNA", at positions 345 to 866 of the family's 1478-position model. The record is from RNAcentral.